Molecule: RNA transcript, 3196 nt
Organism: Pungitius pungitius (ninespine stickleback)
Lineage: Eukaryota; Metazoa; Chordata; Actinopteri; Perciformes; Gasterosteidae
Gene name: zinc finger homeobox protein 4-like
Exons: 13
Source: RefSeq, a predicted model, not a curated record
CGGCCUCUCUUGGGUCAAAGGUCACGAAGACGCAGAUCAAACCCACCCGGCUUCAUGUCCCUCUGCACCACCUGCAGCACAUGCUCCGCCUCGUCCGCCGUCAGCCCCGACAGAUCCAACUUCUUGCCCAUAGCUAACCUCCACCCAACCCCCCCCCCCCCGCUUUGAUCCUUCUGCUCGGUGUGGUCCUCUGAAGAAGUGAAAUGGAAGAAAGAAAAGAAUCUCCUUAAGAUCUGCAGGAGACGUUCUGGGAAGGACUCCAAGGGAAGGAAGCAGAUAAAUCCGCUAAACUUCCCAGAAGUUGAUGUCAAGAGAGUCUAUAAAGACCUGUGUGGAUCCAACUCUCCACUUUACUCACCAUGAAGAAGAGCGUGCUGCUGGUCCUGUUGUCUCUGCAGGUCCUUCUGCUCAUCACAGCCUUCUCGUCUGCUGAUGGAGCCUCCACAGGGAUCCGUCCCCAGCAGCCUGCUGCUGAGACACGUUCCAAAUCCAGAGUGAGAACAGGAUUCCUCAGCAUGAUUUCAGGGAAGGUUCGUCCUUCUGAUGAUGGAGCUUCCAGAGAUAUCGUUCUUUCUGCUGCUGAGGAGGACGGCGUGGAAAGUCUAAAUGAGAAACCUUGCGACUGCAGAGGGAGACCAGGAUGCAAUAGCGCAAUUUCAGGCAUUGGUCCUCCUUCUACACCUCCUCCUCCUAGUACACCUCCUCUAACUACACCUCCUUCUCCCCCAGAAUCAUAACGGUUUUGUGGAAAUCCCUCAUCGAGAGAGAUGGACAGAGAUCUCCGUUCUGUGAUUUGGUUUAUUAUGAUUCUCCUUAUCAGCUACUUCCAGGGAUAUGAGUCCUGGUGAUGUCACAUGUGCACUGCUUUCAUUUGAUCAUCUGUAAUAAAAUGGCACUGCUAUUGAAACGCUUGUAAAGUUCAUUUGUGUUUAUGACACGACAGAUUACGACAGAAGGAAAACAAGAACUUCAGGGUGUCUCGUGUAACUAUUUCUUGGUAAUUUUACAUCGUCACUGACUGGUUUAGUGACACACAUUGCAUCACAUUGUGGGUUUUACCACCGAAAGAAGUUGAAAUGUCACAAAGCUUAUUUUAUUUGUUCCUUAGUGAAAAGUUUUUAGGUCACUUUAUGCAGAAUAAACAACACAUUUAGUAUUCAGACACUGCAAUGAAAUACUUUUCCUCUUGGGCUGUAUAACUACAUUAUGAGGUUCAAUUGGGCUGGUUUUAAAAAUGAGUAAAUAUGUGUACACCUGAUUGUUCCUGUUGUGACUUGUGUUGAUUUGAAUCAUAUCCAGGGUGUUGCAACCAAAGGCGAUUAAUACAAACCUGUUUGAUAGGCGCACGGUUUUAUGACGGGCCGACAUGAGAGAUUACGACAGAAGGAAAACAAGAACUUCCGGGUGUCUCUGACAUGAUGAAACUGGACUUGUGAAAUCAUCUCAAAUCGUCCUUUGUUUACGUGGAAGUGAUCAAACACCAGCGAGUAUUUCAAGGUCGUCGUGUUCAGAGCUCUUCACACGCGCCAUGGACAAAGGUGUGCCGCUGGUCACAGGCUCCACAGGGAUCGAUCCUCAGCAGCCUGCUGCUCAGGAGGGCAACGUGGAAGAAACUGAAAAGAAACGGGUUCCAUUGUCCAACUGGAGAGGGAGACCAGGAGGCCUUAGCGGGAUUUCAGGCCUUAAGCACCCGGUAAGGAGAAGCACAGCCCCCCCCUUUCUAUGUUGUGUCUUUGAGGAUCCUCACAGGACCCCCCAGUAGACCCUCUGAUCUACUGGAGUAAAUUUAAAACCUUUCAUCUGUUUUUUGAUGGUUUUCUCCUCGUUAAAUGUGUUUUGGGGAGGGAUAUUUUUCUGAUCCCAUGUAAAAUUUGCGGGACGAAGUUCAUCUUCAAAACUUUCAUUGGCCAAAUUUCUUUGAGCAAAUAGGUGAGUCUGAAAAGUUCCCAUUCUCUUUAUUACAGGAUCAUCAUUUUGAUGAUGCAGCCUUCAUAGAGAUCGAUCUUCCUGCUGCUGAGGAUGACAAGAAAAUAUCUGGAAACAAAGGGAAUAAACCUCCCAACUGCAAAGGGAGACCAGGAGCCUGUAGCGUGAUUGCAGGGAAGGUCCAACCUCCUUCUCCUCCUCCUACUCUUCUCCCAGAAUAAGAAGAAGCACAGCCCCCCCUAUGUGUGUUGUGUCUUAAAGGCACAGGACCCCGAUCUCCCGUCCUCUGCUCUACUGGACAUGAACGCUGCACUAGAAGCCCAGGGAUAUGAGUCCUGGUGAUGUCACUGCUCCGUCACAUGUGCACGGCUUUCAUUUGAUCAUCUGUAAUAAAAUGGCACUGUUAGUGAAACGCUUGUAAUGUUCAUUUGUGUUCAUGGCGGAUGAGAUGAAGAGCCGUGAAGAAGACAGCCUUUAAAUACUCGCUGGUUUACAGUUCACGUAAACAAAGGAGAAUGUGAGAUGAUUUCACAAGUCCAGUUUCAUCAUGUCAAAGAAACCCUGAAGUUCUUGUUUUCCUUCUGUCGUAAUCUCUCGUGUCAGUGAUAAAACCGUGCCCCUAUUCAUUAUGAACAGCUGUGUAUUGAUCCCCUGUGGUUGCAUAGACCACCCUAGAUAUGAUUGGAAUCAACAUAAGUCAUGACAGGAAAAAACAUGUCUACACAAAGGUAUAAUUCAUGCGAUCUGUUGAUGACAACUGGGGUUACAGAGUGUUGUAACACGCUUUUGAAAUCCUCUAAAGAGUAGUAACAUUUAUAUGAGUAACAUAUGUCAGCAAAAUAGUUGCACAGUUGUAUUUUUCCACUUUGUAUUUCUGGAGACAGUGAACACUGAUUGACUCCAUCUAGUGGACUCAUUAUGCAGCCCUACUUAUUCUGUUGAUUGAAACUACAGCUGAUGACAUCUAUAACAAGUUUGCAGGAAUGUAUUCACUCCAUAAUUCCUUUGUCCGGUUGAUGUGCUGUAUGUCCACUGCUGCAUCAGGUUUUUGAAUGAGCAAAGUGUAACAUUGCUAUUUGAAAGCUGUUCUUACAGUGGUUUGCCUCCUUCUCUCGUUCUACUAACCCCUUCCAAAACAUCUGCAUGUUCAGAUUAUUUAAAAUCAACCAGCCCAAUUGAACAUUUUAAUGUAGUUAUACACACCAGAAAAGUAUAAUUGGAGCAUCUAAAUAAGAAGUUUAUUCUGCGUCAGUCCGCCUUAAAACUUUCC